This is a regulatory RNA element of 124 nucleotides. It matches the Rfam family "ylbH leader". Rfam says of the family: This family is a putative regulatory RNA structure that is found upstream of the ylbH gene in B. subtilis and related low GC Gram-positive bacteria. The record is from Rfam.
AAAGAAAAAACCCUGCAGAAAUUAAUCUGCAGGGUCCUUCUAUAUCCUUAACCAAGGAUAGAAGGCAAAGGGAGAGGAGAAACCGGAGGAAGAACUUAUGGGGAAACGUAAGUCUUCUCCGCGG